This 274-nucleotide ribosomal RNA is filed under the name uncultured bacterium. Its description in RNAcentral is "partial 16S ribosomal RNA". It matches the Rfam family "Archaeal small subunit ribosomal RNA", at positions 473 to 747 of the family's 1478-position model. The record is from RNAcentral.
AAACCAGCACCUCAAGUGGUCAGGAGGAUUAUUGGGCCUAAAGCAUCCGUAGCCUGUUCUAUAAGUUUCCGGUUAAAUCCACUAGCUCAACAUACAGGCUGCCGGGAAUACUGCAGGACUAGGGAGUGGGAGAGGUAGACGGUACUCGGGAGGAAGUGGUAAAAUGCUUUGAUCUCUCGAUGACCACCUGUGGCGAAGGCGGUCUACCAGAACACGUCCGACGGUGAGGGAUGAAAGCUGGGGGAGCAAACCGGAUUAGAAACCCCGGUAGUCC